RNAcentral lists this ribosomal RNA (520 nucleotides) under uncultured microorganism. RNAcentral describes it as "bacterial SSU rRNA". It matches the Rfam family "Bacterial small subunit ribosomal RNA", at positions 9 to 525 of the family's 1533-position model. The record is from RNAcentral.
GAGUUUGAUCGUGGCUCAGAUUGAACGCUGGCGGCAGGCCUAACACAUGCAAGUCGAGCGGAUGAAGGGAGCUUGCUCCUGGAUUCAGCGGCGGACGGGUGAGUAAUGCCUAGGAAUCUGCCUGGUAGUGGGGAUAACGUCCGGAAACGGGCGCUAAUACCGCAUACGUCCUGAGGGAGAAAGUGGGGGAUCUUCGGACCUCACGCUAUCAGACGAGCCUAGGUCGGAUUAGCUAGUUGGUGGGGUAAAGGCCUACCAAGGCGACGAUCCGUAACUGGUCUGAGAGGAUGAUCAGUCACACUGGAACUGAGACACGGUCCAGACUCCUACGGGAGGCAGCAGUGGGGAAUAUUGGACAAUGGGCGAAAGCCUGAUCCAGCCAUGCCGCGUGUGUGAAGAAGGUCUUCGGAUUGUAAAGCACUUUAAGUUGGGAGGAAGGGCAGUAAGUUAUACCUUGCUGUUUUGACGUUACCAACAGAAUAAGCACCGGCUAACUUCGUGUCCAGCAGCCGCAGUAAAA